This 253-nucleotide ribosomal RNA is filed under the name uncultured bacterium. RNAcentral's name for it is "partial 16S ribosomal RNA". It matches the Rfam family "Bacterial small subunit ribosomal RNA", at positions 524 to 776 of the family's 1533-position model. The record is from RNAcentral.
UACGUAGGGAGCAAGCGUUGUCCGGAAUCAUUGGGCGUAAAGAGCGUGUAGGCGGCCCGGUAAGUCCGCUGUAAAAGUCAAAGGCUCAACCUUUGAAUGUCAGUGGAUACUGCCGGGCUAGAGUCCGGAAGAGGCGAGUGGAACUCCUGGUGUAGCGGUGAAUGCGCAGAUAUCAGGAAGGAACACCAGUGGCGAAGGCGGUCUCUGGGCCGAUGACUGACGCUGAGGAGCGAAGACGUGGGGAGCGAACAGG